AUACAUUAGCAUGGGAUAAUGGAAUAGGACCCUGUCCUCCUAUUUUCAGUUGGUUUUGGCAGCGCGAGGACUAGGGUAAUGAUUAAUAGGGAUAGUUGGGGGCAUUAAUAUUUAAUUGUCAGAGGUGAAAUUCUUGGAUUUAUGAAAGAUUAACUUCUGCGAAAGCAUCUGCCAAGGAUGUUUUCAUUAAUCAAGAACGAAAGUUAGGGGAUCGAAGACGAUCAGAUACCGUCGUAGUCUUAACCAUAAACGAUGCCGACCAGCGAUUAGGAGACGUUGAAUACAAAACACCACCAUCGGCGCGGUCGUCCUUGGCGUCGGUCCUUCACGGGGCCGGCGCGAGGGCGGCUUAGCCCGGUGGCACCGGUGAA
This 371-nucleotide ribosomal RNA is filed under the name Acanthamoeba sp. BSz-2014. RNAcentral describes it as "SSU rRNA". The stretch from base 1 to 325 matches the Rfam family "Eukaryotic small subunit ribosomal RNA", at positions 799 to 1115 of the family's 1831-position model. Lineage: Eukaryota; Discosea; Longamoebia; Acanthamoebidae. The record is from RNAcentral.